This 377-nucleotide ribosomal RNA is filed under the name uncultured Anaerolineaceae bacterium. RNAcentral describes it as "bacterial SSU rRNA". It matches the Rfam family "Bacterial small subunit ribosomal RNA", at positions 989 to 1382 of the family's 1533-position model. Lineage: Bacteria; Bacillati; Chloroflexota; Anaerolineae; Anaerolineales; Anaerolineaceae. The record is from RNAcentral.
AGGUUGUAGGGAACUGAAAGGGACCGACCCUUCGGGAGCCUAUACAGGUGUUGCAUGGCUGUCGUCAGCUCGUGUCGUGAGAUGUUCGGUUAAGUCCGCUAACGAGCGCAACCCUCGUCGUAUGUUAUAUGUGUCAUACGAGACUGCCGGUAAAAAGCCGGAGGAAGGUGAGGAUGAUGUCAAGUCAGCAUGACCUUUAUAUCCAGGGCUACACACACGCUACAAUGGUCUGUACAAUGGGUAGCCAAGCCGCGAGGCGGAGCCAAUCCUGAAAGCAGGCCUCAGUUCAGAUUGCAGUCUGCAACUCGACUGCAUGAAGCCGGAGUUGCUAGUAACCGCAGGUCAGCAAUACUGCGGUGAAUACGUUCCCGGGUCUU